RNAcentral lists this transfer RNA (73 nucleotides) under Camelus bactrianus (Bactrian camel). It matches the Rfam family "tRNA". From Rfam's summary of the family: Transfer RNA (tRNA) molecules are approximately 80 nucleotides in length. Their secondary structure includes four short double-helical elements and three loops (D, anti-codon, and T loops). The record is from Rfam by way of RNAcentral. RNAcentral also lists the same sequence under 2 other names. Lineage: Eukaryota; Metazoa; Chordata; Mammalia; Artiodactyla; Camelidae.
GGAAGGUUAGCUCAAUGGUAGAGCACGUGCUUUGGCAUGUAUGAGGUCCUGGGUUCAAUCCCCAGUGUCUCUG